Phrynosoma platyrhinos (Desert horned lizard) is the source of this 73-nucleotide non-coding RNA. Lineage: Eukaryota; Metazoa; Chordata; Lepidosauria; Squamata; Phrynosomatidae. The record is from the annotation of a GenBank genome assembly.
GUCAAUGCAGCAUAGUGGUUUGAGUGUUGGACUAUGACUCUGAAGACAGGGUUUGAUUCCCAACUCAGUCACG